UACGGAGGGUGCGAGCGUUGUCCGGAAUCACUGGGCGUAAAGGGCGCGUAGGCGGCCUGAUAAGUAGGGGGUGGAAUCCUGCGGCUUAACCGCAGGGCUGCCUUCUAAACUGUCAGGCUAGAGCACGGUAGAGGCAGAUGGAAUUCCCGGUGUAGCGGUGGAAUGCGUAGAGAUCGGGAAGAACAUCAGUGGCGAAGGCGGUCUGCUGGGCCGUUGCUGACGCUGAGGCGCGACAGCGUGGGGAGCAAACAGG
Molecule: ribosomal RNA, 253 nt
Filed under: uncultured bacterium
Lineage: Bacteria
Description: partial 16S ribosomal RNA
Rfam family: Bacterial small subunit ribosomal RNA
Source: RNAcentral